Molecule: long non-coding RNA, 551 nt
Organism: Thrips palmi
Lineage: Eukaryota; Metazoa; Arthropoda; Insecta; Thysanoptera; Thripidae
Exons: 3
Source: RefSeq, a predicted model, not a curated record
GAGAAAAGUACUUGAAUUUCUCUCAACUCAAAAGUACUCCUGCAAGUUGCAUCCUUUCAUACAUUCGCCCGUUUUCGGUCAGACAGCCAAGACUCGCCCCUUGAAGGGAACCGCAGCCGGCAGCGGCAGCCACGCCUCAAGCCCAGCGGGAGUGCAUUCGAGAGCUCGACCUGAAGGACCUCUGCGAGGCGACGCCGGAAGAACGACUGGAGGAGAAGGCAGCCACUGCAACGCUUGCGGCAGCGAGGGGUUCUGCGGUUGACCUACGUGUGUUGCGAGCGAGACCCUGCCUGGGUCCCGGACGCGCUGCGUGGUGCCGCGCCCACGCUGGAGGAGAUUUCAGUCCGGAACCCAACGUCGGUCACCUCCGCGCGCUCCACGCUGCACCCACACUGCGGCGGAUGUGGCUGGAAUCUACUGGGGGCCGACCGCUCUGGCAGCCGCGCUCCCCGCCCCGCUGCAGGGCGGCCCCAAGUGGGUGCGCUGCCUGCAGCCAGCCUGCUCUCGCUGCUGCGGCCCACAGCGCGUCCCUGGAGGAGCUGCACACGGAU